UUGGUACUAAUCUUUCCGUGCCAAUCAUCGUACCACGUCAAUAUAAAAAAGAUGAAUUAUAGUCAUAAUCUAAUCAAUUUGAGCAUGAACAAACUAGAGUUGUAAUGAACAAAUAUAGUCGUAUAAAAUAUCGGUUACAAACACUAACACUGUGUACAUAACCAUCUGAUCUAUACUUUACCACGGCUAUGCUGCACACUACAAUGCUACUGACACAACUUAGAUUAUGUCUUCAAUUUAACUUAGUAACAUAAUAGCGAAUACAUAGUUAUUUGACAUCAACAAUUUAUUGACAACAUCAACCUAUUAUAACCAUGUUAAGUCUCACAAAAACUGUGGUCAUGAUUUACAAUCCUCAAUUAUUUAUACACCUAAUCUAUGGAAGAACUUCAUAUAUUUAUGACCCCUUCAGUUCAAGUAAUGGCGUUUCCUACUUAGUCAACUACUUUUUUAUUUCUUUACAUUGAAUAUUCGUGUCCGUUUGUAUAGAGUAAGCAAAACUAUAUAGAUCUACUUGGAUUCCAGCGAUAAUCCUACCACAGUGCCAGCGAACGAUUCACUUUUCUGCAAGAAUCGAAAGAGACCAACGUACCUUUCCUCCCCGUCCUCCUUACUCCGAUCUGUUCGAAAUGAAAUAUGGAUCAGUUAGUCGAAUCAAAUCCAACAAACAUCAUUCGAUAGCUCUUAACUAUCUAUCAUAUACCAACCAACUUCC
Molecule: long non-coding RNA, 715 nt
Filed under: Setaria viridis
Lineage: Eukaryota; Viridiplantae; Streptophyta; Magnoliopsida; Poales; Poaceae
Description: long non-coding RNA (SVIR_LNC006443)
Source: RNAcentral